Molecule: long non-coding RNA, 967 nt
Organism: Clarias gariepinus (North African catfish)
Lineage: Eukaryota; Metazoa; Chordata; Actinopteri; Siluriformes; Clariidae
Exons: 5
Source: RefSeq, a predicted model, not a curated record
ACCAUUUUGAAAAGAUUGUUCCUUUAGAAUUGUCAUAUAGUUUGAAAGAAAUUAUUUUGUCUUUGUCAACUUGCAUCAUAUUGGUCGCUGUAUGUGUUUGUGUUGCUUUGCUUUGUUGCGCUCGUGUGUAAUUGUCCAGGUCGCGCGGAGGAGCUUUUGGACAAACUUGAUAAACAGAUGCAGGACCAUCGCCAUGGAGACGGGAGCUGAGAGCACACAUCUGUGGUACGGUCCUGCAGUUUUUCUUCCCUCCAAAUCAUCUGUCGAAGGUCACCACACUUGUACAGCUGUUUCCAGCUGCUGACGGGCCUCCCGUUGAUCAUAGGCUUCCCUUGAUAACUCACCUUUAUCUCAGAAGUAGCAUGGUAUUCAUCUUUGCUGCUUUUUAUAGCAAGCUGGUGUUAUGGGCUCAGCGGGACUUAGAGUCUUACACAGAGGAGGUGUUUCUCUUUAUGAAGUCACGGGACGUGAUUGAGGCGUGAAUCUGCUGUCUACGGCUGGCUGGACAGACAGGAUGGACCUUCUGAAGAAGAGGAACAAGCUGAACUCGUACACUACCACAAUGAGAAAAGGAAGAAGAAGAACAUCUUGAUGAAGCAGAGCCAGAAUGUCCGGACCAAAGGCAAACGCUCCUUCUAGGAGAAACAGGUAUAAGUGUCAGCUGCAGACUAAACAAGAAGCUGUGCAGGUUUUAAACUGUUUAGUCUAACUUUUAUGUUUUUUUUCCCACAGAUUGCUCUCAGAUAUGCACUUUUGAGGAAGAAAAAAAAACAAGUAGCAUCUCAGGAUCAGAAUCUCUGUACAGAUUAGUGAUGGUUCGUUAAUGAACGAUUUGUUAUUUUUGAACGAGUCUUUAAUGUGACUCAAAACGAAUAGUCUCAGAGUGAUUUGUUAAUUUUUUUGCGGAAAGCACCGCAAAACCGUAGGUUAUGUACAGGAAACAGAAAUGAGUAGUUACCUUUGAGUC